UCAGAGUUUAGUUUUAGGCCUAAUUAUAAUCGGUCGGUGCUCUUCUCAACUAAAAAUAUUUGCGUUGCAGACUUUUGACUGAAAUUAUUUUUCCCUCAGCAAGGGCUAAUGUGCUAAUGUAGAGUGGUAAGCAUGGAGGAAAUGAAUAAAGGGCUUGUAUGUUAUGGGCCUAAUUAUAAUCGGUCGGUGCUCUUCUCAACUAAAAAUAUUGUAAUCAUUCUGUAAAAUAAAAUUAAAUUAUAUACUAUA
This is a long non-coding RNA of Drosophila santomea, 249 nucleotides long. RefSeq lists it as uncharacterized. The record is from RefSeq and is a predicted model, not a curated record. The transcript is spliced from 2 exons. NCBI's taxonomy places the organism in Eukaryota, Metazoa, Arthropoda, Insecta, Diptera, Drosophilidae.